RNAcentral lists this ribosomal RNA (374 nucleotides) under uncultured bacterium. RNAcentral's name for it is "bacterial SSU rRNA". It matches the Rfam family "Bacterial small subunit ribosomal RNA", at positions 430 to 793 of the family's 1533-position model. The record is from RNAcentral.
GUACUUUCAGCAGUGAGGAAGGUAGUGUAGUUAAUAGCUGCAUUAUUUGACGUUAGCUGCAGAAGAAGCACCGGCUAACUCCGUGCCAGCAGCCGCGGUAAUACGGAGGGUGCGAGCGUUAAUCGGAAUUACUGGGCGUAAAGCGCAUGCAGGUGGUUUGUUAAGUCAGAUGUGAAAGCCCGGGGCUCAACCUCGGAAUAGCAUUUGAAACUAGGCAGACUAGAGUACUGUAGAGGGGGGUAGGAAUUUCAGGUGUAGCGGUGAAAUAGCGUAGAGAUCUGAAGGAAUACCGGUGGCGAAGGCGGCCCCCUGGACAGAUACUGACACUCAGAUGCGAAAGCGUGGGGAGCAAACAGGAUUAGAUACCCUGGUAG